RNAcentral lists this ribosomal RNA (440 nucleotides) under uncultured bacterium. RNAcentral's name for it is "bacterial SSU rRNA". It matches the Rfam family "Bacterial small subunit ribosomal RNA", at positions 338 to 795 of the family's 1533-position model. The record is from RNAcentral.
CCUACGGGGGGCAGCAGUGGGGAAUAUUGCACAAUGGGGGAAACCCUGAUGCAGCAACGCCGCGUGAGCGAAGAAGGUCUUCGGGUCGUAAAGCUCUGUCCUAAGGGAAGAAGCAUGACGGUACCUUAGGAGGAAGCCCCGGCUAACUACGUGCCAGCAGCCGCGGUAAUACGNAGNGNGCGAGCGUUAUCCGGAAUCACUGGGCGUAAAGGGUGCGUAGGCAGCCAAUUAAGCCAGAGGUGAANGGCUACGGCUCAACCGUAGUAAGCCUUUGGAACUGAAUGGCUUGAGUGCAGGAGAGGAGAGUGGAAUUCCUAGUGUAGCGGUGAAAUGCGUAGAUAUUAGGAGGAACACCAGUGGCGAAGGCGACUCUCUGGCCUGUAACUGACGCUGAGGCACGAAAGCGUGGGGAGCAAACAGGAUUAGAUACCCCAGUAGUC